UACCCAGACUCCUACGGGAGGCAGCAGUGAGGAAUAUUGGUCAAUGGCCGGAAGGCUGAACCAGCCAAGCCGCGUGAAGGACGAAGGUGCCAAGCAUUGUAAACUUCUUUUGUCAAGGGACAAAAUCAGGCUCGAGAGCCUGACCGAGGGUACUUGAAGAAAAAGCAUCGGCUAACUACGUGCCAGCAGCCGCGGUAAUACGUAGGGGGCAAGCGUUAUCCGGAUUUACUGGGUGUAAAGGGAGCGUAGGCGGUUAGAUAAGUCUGAUGUGAAAGCCCACAGCUUAACUGUGGGAUUGCAUUGGAAACUAUAGAACUAGAGUGUCGGAGAGGUAAGUGGAAUUCCUAGUGUAGCGGUGAAAUGCGUAGAUAUUAGGAGGAACACCAGUGGCGAAGGCGGCCUGCUGGACUGCGACUGACGUUGAGGCCCGAAAGCGUGGGGAGCAAACAGGAUUAGAUACCCGCGUA
RNAcentral lists this ribosomal RNA (467 nucleotides) under uncultured bacterium. Its description in RNAcentral is "partial 16S ribosomal RNA". It matches the Rfam family "Bacterial small subunit ribosomal RNA", at positions 328 to 792 of the family's 1533-position model. The record is from RNAcentral.